This 1046-nucleotide ribosomal RNA is filed under the name Pyricularia grisea. RNAcentral describes it as "SSU rRNA". It matches the Rfam family "Eukaryotic small subunit ribosomal RNA", at positions 58 to 1115 of the family's 1831-position model. The record is from RNAcentral. Lineage: Eukaryota; Fungi; Ascomycota; Sordariomycetes; Magnaporthales; Pyriculariaceae.
UCUAAGUAUAAGCAAUUAUACAGCGAAACUGCGAAUGGCUCAUUAAAUCAGUUAUCGUUUAUUUGAUAGUACCUUACUACAUGGAUAACCGUGGUAAUUCUAGAGCUAAUACAUGCUAAAAACCCCGACUUCGGAAGGGGUGUAUUUAUUAGAUUAAAAACCAAUGCCCUUCGGGGCUCACUGGUGAUUCAUGAUAACUUCUCGAAUCGCACGGCCUUGCGCCGGCGAUGGUUCAUUCAAAUUUCUGCCCUAUCAACUUUCGACGGCUGGGUCUUGGCCAGCCGUGGUGACAACGGGUAACGGAGGGUUAGGGCUCGACCCCGGAGAAAACGCCUGAGAAACGGCGUUUACAUCCAAGGAAGGCAGCAGGCGCGCAAAUUACCCAAUGCCGACACGGCGAGGUAGUGACGAGAAAUACUGAUACAGGGCUCUUUUGGGUCUUGUAAUUGGAAUGAGUACAAUUUAAAUCUCNGAACGANGAAAAAGGGGAUUANUAGNNNNNNNNNNNNNNNAGCGGCCUUUCAGCUCCAAUAGCGUAUNUUAAAGUNGUUGCAGUUAAAAAGCUCGUAGUUGAACCUUGGGCCUGGCUGGCCGGUCCGCCUCACCGCGUGCACUGGUCCGGCCGGGCCUUUCCCUCUGGGGAACCGCAUGCCCUUCACUGGGCGUGUCGGGGAACCAGGACUUUUACUUUGAAAAAAUUAGAGUGUUCAAAGCAGGCCUAUGCUCGAAUACAUUAGCAUGGAAUAAUAGAAUAGGACGUGUGGUUCUAUUUUGUUGGUUUCUAGGACCGCCGUAAUGAUUAAUAGGGACAGUCGGGGGCAUCAGUAUUCAAUUGUCAGAGGUGAAAUUCUUGGAUUUAUUGAAGACUAACUACUGCGAAAGCAUUUGCCAAGGAUGUUUUCAUUAAUCAGGAACGAAAGUUAGGGGAUCGAAGACGAUCAGAUACCGUCGUAGUCUUAACCAUAAACUAUGCCGACUAGGGAUCGGACGGUGUUAUUUUUUGACCCGUUCGGCACCUUACACGAAAGUACAAGUUUCUGGGUUCU